CCCUUAGAUGUCCUGGGCCGCACGCGCGCUACACUGAUGCAUGCAACGAGUUUAUAACCUUGGCCUGAAAGGUCUGGGUAAUCUUUUGAACGUGCAUCGUGAUAGGGAUAGAUUAUUGCAAUUGUUAAUCUUGAACGAGGAAUUCCUAGUAAACGCGAGUCAUCAGCUCGCAUUGAUUACGUCCCUGCCCUUUGUACACACCGCCCGUCGCACCUACCGAUUGAGUGGUCCGGUGAGGCUUUGGGAUCUGAGCGGAAAGAGCGUUUCGCUGUUUCUGCUCGGAAAACUCAGUCGAACCUUAUCAUUUAGAGGAAGGAGAAGUCGUAACA
Molecule: ribosomal RNA, 329 nt
Filed under: uncultured eukaryote
Lineage: Eukaryota
Description: partial 18S ribosomal RNA
Rfam family: Eukaryotic small subunit ribosomal RNA
Source: RNAcentral